RNAcentral lists this ribosomal RNA (656 nucleotides) under uncultured marine eukaryote. RNAcentral describes it as "bacterial SSU rRNA". It matches the Rfam family "Eukaryotic small subunit ribosomal RNA", at positions 1 to 721 of the family's 1831-position model. The record is from RNAcentral.
AACCUGGUUGAUCCUGCCAGUAGUCAUAUGCUUGUCUCAAAGACUAAGCCAUGCACGUCUAAGUACAAACUAAAUGAUGGUGAAACUGCAAAUGGCUCAUUACAACGGUUAUGAUGUACCCGGGAGUUCCGAUGGAUAUUUCCAGUAACACUAGAACUAAUACAUGCUCCUGCGUUUAUUAGUUUCGCACAGUCCGUCGCUGAGUCAUGGUAAACAGUUGAUCGACUCGACGUCCCGGAACAGUUUCCGCCCCAUCAGCUUCGAUGGUUGGGUAUUGGCCUACCAUUGCAACAACGGGUAACGAGGAAUUAGGGUUUGAUUUCGGAGAGGGAGCCUGAGAAACGGCUACCACAUCUACGGAUGGCAGCAGGCGCGCAAAUUACCCAAUGCAGACACUGUGAGGUAGUGACGAGAAAUAAUAAAGCGGGACUUCUGUUUCGCUAUUAUAAUGAGGAAUAACCAAAGGUCAUUCCGAUUAGCAACUGAUGGGAAAGUCUGGUGCCAGCAGCCGCGGUAAUACCAGCGUCAGUAACAUAUAUUAAAAUUGUUGCAGUUAAAACGUCCGUAGUCUGUACGUCGUCCCAAACUCACUGCAGUCUUCCGUUUCCUUCAUUGAAUGCGGUAGUUUCUGCAGUCACUCCCUGAUCCAAUAGGUG